This 237-nucleotide long non-coding RNA is filed under the name Elaeis guineensis (African oil palm). RNAcentral describes it as "long non-coding RNA (EGUI_LNC046770)". The record is from RNAcentral. Lineage: Eukaryota; Viridiplantae; Streptophyta; Magnoliopsida; Arecales; Arecaceae.
GGCAUGUGGACCAUACAUGGUCCAUGCACGGUGCACGUGUGGUUUGUGGGAAAGUUUGCGGUCCAUGCAUGAGGCAUGGACCCCCACGGCCCAGGAAGGUUUUCUCGUGAAUCACACGCUCAUGGAUGAGCAUGCGACACACGGUGCAUGCAGAGAGGCCCCGAUUCAUGCGGGAGUGGUCUAUGCAAAGUCUACAGGUGCAUUUUAUGCGAUUGGAUGGUUUUGAAUGUGUGCGGA